AUACUUACCUGGCAGGGGAGAUACCAUGAUCACGAAGGUGGUUUUCCCAGGGCGAGGUUUAUCCAUUGCACUCCGGAUGUGCUGACCCCUGCAAUUUCCCCAAAUGUGGGAAACUCGACUGCCUAAUUUGUGGUUUUUAGGCCUCCCUAA
RNAcentral lists this small nuclear RNA (150 nucleotides) under Aotus nancymaae (Ma's night monkey). Its description in RNAcentral is "U1 spliceosomal RNA (ENSANAG00000019328.1)". It matches the Rfam family "U1 spliceosomal RNA". From Rfam's summary of the family: U1 is a small nuclear RNA (snRNA) component of the spliceosome (involved in pre-mRNA splicing). Its 5' end forms complementary base pairs with the 5' splice junction, thus defining the 5' donor site of an intron. Lineage: Eukaryota; Metazoa; Chordata; Mammalia; Primates; Aotidae. The record is from Rfam by way of RNAcentral.